Non-coding RNA from Salmo salar (Atlantic salmon), 85 nucleotides. NCBI's taxonomy places the organism in Eukaryota, Metazoa, Chordata, Actinopteri, Salmoniformes, Salmonidae. The record is from Rfam.
AUCCCUGUAGCUCAGUUGGUAGAGCAUGGUGUUUGCAACGCCAGGGUUGUGGGUUCGAUUGUGGGUUCGAUUCCCACGGGGGGCC